CCUACUGGAGACAUCAUUGAGGCAUCUUGGUCAAUGGCCGGAAGGCUGAACCAGCCAAGUCGCGUGAGGUCCUCCUUCCCUCUUUUUUUUCCCCCUCUUUUCUCCUUUCCUCCUCCCUUCUUCUUUUAUCAUGAUGCCUGUACCUUAUGAAAAAGCAUCGUCUAACUCCGUGCCAGCCGCCUCGGUAAUACGGAGGAUGCGCUCGUUAUCCGGAUUUAUUGGGUUUAAAGGGUGCGUAGGCGGUUUUUUAAGUUAGUGGUUAAACGUCGGGGCUUCACCUUGAUUUGCAAUUAAUACUGUAAGACUCGAGUUCAGACGAGGUAGGCGGAAUAAGUUAAGUAGCGGUGAAAGGCUUAGAGAUAACUUAGAACUCCGAUAGCGAAGGCAGCUUACAAGACUGCGACUGACGCUGAAGCACGAGAGCGGGGGGAGCGAACAGGAGGAGAGAAAAAGGGAGUC
Molecule: ribosomal RNA, 459 nt
Filed under: uncultured bacterium
Lineage: Bacteria
Description: partial 16S ribosomal RNA
Rfam family: Bacterial small subunit ribosomal RNA
Source: RNAcentral